AAAGGAAUAGACGGGGACCCGCACAAGCAGCGGAGCAUGUGGUUUAAUUCGAAGCAACGCGAAGAACCUUACCAAGACUUGACAUAUAUAUGCAUAGUAUGGAAACAUAUGAAAGGUAUAGUUUACUAUACCCAUAUAAACAGAUGGUGCAUGGUUGUCGUCAGCUCGUGUCGUGAGAUGUUGGGUUAAGUCCCGCAACGAGCGCAACCCCUGUAUUUAGUUGCCAUCAAUUCGGUUGGGCACUCUAGAUAGACUGCCGUAGAUAAUACGGAGGAAGGUGGGGAUGACGUCAAAUCAUCAUGCCUCUUACGUCUUGGGCUACACACGUGCUACAAUGGACGGUACAAAGAGCAGCAAUAUAGUAAUAUGGAGCCAAACUCAAAAAGCCGUUCUCAAUUCGGACUGUGGGCUGCAACCCGCCCACACGAAGACGGAGUUGCUAGUAAUCCCGGAUCAGCACGCCGGGGUGAAUGCGUUCUCGGGUCUUGUACACACCGCCCGU
This 502-nucleotide ribosomal RNA is filed under the name uncultured bacterium. RNAcentral describes it as "bacterial SSU rRNA". It matches the Rfam family "Bacterial small subunit ribosomal RNA", at positions 903 to 1397 of the family's 1533-position model. The record is from RNAcentral.